This 216-nucleotide ribosomal RNA is filed under the name uncultured bacterium. Its description in RNAcentral is "partial 16S ribosomal RNA". It matches the Rfam family "Bacterial small subunit ribosomal RNA", at positions 118 to 351 of the family's 1533-position model. The record is from RNAcentral.
UGGGAACGUGCCUUUUGGUUCGGAACAACCCAGGGAAACUUGGGCUAAUACCGGAUAAGCCCUUACGGGGAAAGAUUUAUCGCCAAAAGAUCGGCCCGCGUCUGAUUAGCUAGUUGGUGAGGUAACGGCUCACCAAGGCGACGAUCAGUAGCUGGUCUGAGAGGAUGAUCAGCCUCACUGGGACUGAGACACGGCCCAGACUCCUACGGGAGGCAG